This 516-nucleotide ribosomal RNA is filed under the name uncultured bacterium. RNAcentral's name for it is "partial 16S ribosomal RNA". It matches the Rfam family "Bacterial small subunit ribosomal RNA", at positions 28 to 523 of the family's 1533-position model. The record is from RNAcentral.
GAUGAUCGCUGGCGGCGUGCCUAAUACAUGCAAGUCGAACGCAUUGAGAGAAGUGCUUGCACUUUUCAAUUUGAGUGGCGAACGGGUGAGUAACACGUGGGCAACCUACCUGAUAGCAGGGGAUAACGAGUGGAAACAUUCGCUAAUACCGCAUAACAAUAGAGAAGGCAUCUUCUUUAUUUAAAAGGCGCUUUCAAGCGUCACUAUCAGAUGGGCCCGCGGUGAAUUAGUUAGUUGGUGGGGUGAAGGCCUACCAAGACGAUGAUGCAUAGCCGAGUUGAGAGACUGAUCGGCCACAUUGGGACUGAGACACGGCCCAAACUCCUACGGGAGGCUGCAGUAGGGAAUCUUCCACAAUGGACGAAAGUCUGAUGGAGCAACGCCGCGUGUGUGAUGAAGGCUUUCGGGUCGUAAAGCACUGUUGUAUGGGAAGAAAUGCUAGGCUAGGAAAUGAGCUUAGUUUGACGGUACCAUACCAGAAAGGGACGGCUAAAUACGUGCCAGCAGCCGCCGUAA